AAAAAAUCUUACUAAAAAGAGCUGCUGCUGUAGCAAGAACAAUGCCACAGAUUUAAUUUGUUGAUGUAGCCUCUCUGCUAACAUUUGCUGCCUUAGCCAUCUUCUCAGUUGAGACAAAGAUGUGGUCAUCUGUGUGUGUGUGUGUGUGUUUGUAUGAUUUAGAGUAUUCUACGUGUCACUCAAACACCCCUGUUCUCCCUCAGUAUCACUUCAUCCCUCUCUGCUCUCUGCUCUCUGCUCUCUGCUCUCAGACAGAGGCAGUAAAGGUGGCAUUCGUGGGGGGAAGGCGCCUGCCACGACAGGGAUUUGGGCACGCAGAGCAGCUUUAAUUAGAUGAGGCCUCAUGCCAUGUGGCUCCACAGUGUGUUUGAAAGGGAUUGUGAGUGUGUUUGUGUGUCUAUGCACAACGUCUGUGUACUCAAAGAUGUAUUUUUUUUGCAUUUAGUUUGAUAUUAAUUGACACUGUGGUCACAAAGACGUCACGCUCAAGAUGAUUUCGAGGAAACAUUUAAAUGUUUUUUUUCUCUAACAGCCUUUGCUCGAUGCCAUCUUUGUAUUUCAACAAAGAUCGUUCCUUGUUCUUUUGUAGUCAACUGGCUGGGAUUUUGCUUAAAUUCUAAACACACAUUUGGAGGUGGUGUUUAAAAGACAUCACCCUCCCACGGAGCCAGUCAGCGGGUGAGGUGGGUGUGCCAUAAGCCUGGGAGAUUGGCCAGGGAAAGGAAGGACUGGUUUGGACUGGUUUAUCAACUUGUGUAAUUCUUUUUUUUUUUUUUUCUUUAUUGGUGCCCCUCACUGGUUGCUUGACUUUAGGGAGGAUUUUACAUGCAGGCAUCACUCACGGGCCAAUCACAGCAUCGAGUACACAAAGAGAGGGUUUCUAUUGGCUUAGAAAGCAAGAGGCGGGGCAAAGGGGUCUGUUGCAACAUCACAAAAUUAAGGGUCAGGGCAAGGAUGGAAGUAAAAAAAGGCCUCAGGCCAGAAGAGUAAGAUCUUUGUUCGGGCUCAGUGGUGAACCGUCGUUCGUUUGUUUUUCGUCCAGACUUGUCAGAAUGUGGCCUGUUAUACCUCGCCUGCAGCUUGAGAGGACGGGUAGCCUUAGGGGUUGGCUGUUAUCUUUGGUUAUCUAGCUGUAUGAGUGAUGUACAUUCUUCAUAAAGCUAGAUAACCGAAAGUAACAAGAAUCCCAUUACACACCUGAAAAAGGCAUGAAGACCCCGACUGCAGUAAAGAAAAGAGACGAAUUAAACAAAAAACAAGAAUGACACAAGUGAAGGUUUCCGCGGACAUGGAAGAGGAACACAUCGACAGGCUAACACCACCAGACCAGUGAAGGAGAGCUGGCAAAAGGAGACUGGAAAACAGAAAAGGAGGGGGAGGAGGAGGGGUUGCUGUUGAUCUGCCUCCCCUCUCUCCUCACCCUCCUCUGCAUCGCCUCUUUCCUCCACCUCCUCCUCCUCCCCGCUUCCUUCUCCUCAGCUUCAUCCUUAGCAGUGCCCUUUUUCCUGUACAGCACAACGCAGCCUGCGCCACCAUCUUAGAGCAACGCUGGCAUGAAAUGGAAGUGGAAAAGACCCGUCGGUGCAGGUCUUUCCUGUCGGUGUUGAAGGAGCAAACAAUGAGCGGAGCAGCCUCCACACACAACCAGCCUGGACUAAAUGUUGAUGGUGAUGCAGAAGUCCACCUCAGCAGGUCCAUGUGAAGGACAAGUGGUGUUUACUGGUGCUACACACUGUAUGGCCAAAAUUAAACAGUAAAAGUUCCAUUUCCACUUUGAACUCAAACAAGUCCUACAUCCAGAUGAAGGCUGGAGUGACCUGGAAGAGUCAAGUUAGACUGUGAAAAAGGGAAACAAGGAGGUGAAGAUCAGCGUCAACUGUUGAUGGACUGUGACGCUUUCAUCUAUAUUUGAUACCAUUGUCCAUUUGUACUCAAAUACUCCAUGUUACAAAUGAUGUAUCUCAAUUAGAGUUCAUCCAUUGUAGUCGAUUUUUGAGGUUUUUUUGUACGGUAGUUGCAUUUUUUUUUCUAGUUGCUAGGACUCAAAGACACGAGAAUGUGAGACCCACGGCAGCAGUGAAUAAUUCUGCACUGUGAUUGGACAGCUCCAUGUGUCCGCUGACACAAUGGUGAAGGAGUGAGCUGUCGUCUUUAUACUCUAUGCAACUGUUUAUUUUUGUUUUUUUCCAUUUUUUUAUUUUCGCUCUUCAUUCUCAGUUGUGUGUUGUCUCGUUUAUCCUUUAUUUACAGUUUUGGGAUAUAUUUAAAAAAAAUGAUGUCAAAGAGCCUGCAGCUUCAGUGUCGAUAUGCUGAUGCAGAUGGUGAAGUCACUGUGUGACAGAUGACAGAACGAAGCUCGGUUUCAUCAGCAGAUUUUCAUAUUUGCAGCCACCGUCAGAGUAAACGUGGACUCACACAUUUAAUAUUCCUGACAGUAGACGUGUAUUUGAUCAGCAGGGCAGAGUUGCUGAGCAAGUUGUGGCUUUGUGUGUGUACACAACACGGCACACUAUUAAAACUUUCCCAGCAGGCUUUGUGGCACUGCAGUGUGCUUCAAGUCAUCUGCUCUGCCGUAAUGUCACGUCCGUAUAGAAAGAGACGACAAAUACAUGAACUUCACACACACAUGCAUUAAUUUCCUGUACCUGACAUGCACACACACACACACAAAAGGCAAGAGCUAUCAAUGCUUAAUUCCUUCUAAUAUUAAUUUUUGGAUUGUGGCAAUUUUUUUUUUCUUUAUUACCACUGAUAAUCUAUGCAAAUCUUUUAAAUAUUACUUUAAACAAUCAAUGUCUAUAAAGAGCCUUUGCAAUACAUUAAAAGGGAGAGUCACGUGGUCUAAUUGAGGAAACGUAUUCUUUUGAUAAUCAUGCACAUCCCAGUGCUCCAGACAAUUACUUAUCUGCCUGGAUACGCUUGAAAUGAUGGUUGUAAUCUCUUACAAAAGAAGAAGAAAGAAUCUUUUUUUUCCCCCUGAAAUCAGUCCAGCCUCAUGAAAAUGUGAAUUUUGAUCUAUGUAUUGCACUAAACUUUAUUUUUAUCCCCCUUAAACAAAGACCAAAAGGACUGAGUCAAUCAUUUUAUUAUAUUUUAUGUCCGUUCUCUUUUUAACUUACAGAUAUGUUUGUAUUUUGCAGUCUUGAAUCUACCUUAUGUGCCUUUUCCAUGUAACCACAUGGGAACACAAAUAAAAGUUUACAUUGAAAA
This is a long non-coding RNA of Cynoglossus semilaevis (tongue sole), 3210 nucleotides long. RefSeq lists it as uncharacterized. The transcript has 4 exons. The record is from RefSeq and is a predicted model, not a curated record. Lineage: Eukaryota; Metazoa; Chordata; Actinopteri; Pleuronectiformes; Cynoglossidae.